AGGGAUUAGUUGGAUAGACCAGGAUGAGUAGUACUGUUCAUAUAGAUCAUGCCAGAUUUAAGCAUGUGCAGACUUAAACAAUGAGAUUAUUACUUUGGAUGAUACUGUGUGACAUAUGCCAUUAUUCUAGUACAAUUGCCCAUAAUCAUCUUACAUAGUAGAGCUUUGAGUAGUCGGGACCUUCAAUAACAGAGUAUAUAUAGAGAUGUCAAGGGCAGAGCUUUGGAUGGCACUGCGUUCAUUGUUCAAAAGAUCAUGUUAAUUGGUAGCUAGCGAGGGUAGGUGAAACACAACAGAAAACGAUCUUUGCAUGUGUCAGUCGUAGACACAUUAUUAGAGCUUACAAUCAUGGCCUAUAUAUACUGCUUGUUCUUGCACCAUUCCACGCUACAGGCCCUUUUUUAUUUAUUUUCAGUCCAUAGAGGUUGUUGGUUGUUGCCAACAAGUUACUUCUUUCAACUCAGCUACUCAGCUUAUGCUACUAUUAGCUAGUGAUGGGGGUUGGGAGGUACCGGGAUUUUAACAUGUAGCUUGUGGUGCCGUGGCUGUGCUGUUGUUCUGUGGCCUACUGCAUUUUAUUAUGUGACUUCCCCAGACAACAGCUGGAUGAGAAAACAUGCUGGCGACAUGAAUUCUUGCGGAGCAUUGAUCCCCCAAGUAGUGGCAGCUAUCUAUGUGACUGCUGGGCUCAAAUGUUCCAUGACAGCCACGGAACUGUUAAGGCUGAUUGCGCAGUAAUGCUCAUGAUGGCGAUGUGAAAUGUCAGUACACACAGAUAGUAUGGAAAUUAGAAGAACUGGGCCAACAAACCUUGGAUCAUCGUGUGGAACUGUGUAAGCAUGUAACUAGUUGUAUGGUGGUUAACUGCAAGAAUAAUGUAUUGCGAUUCUGGUAGUCAUCAAUCAGGU
Molecule: long non-coding RNA, 908 nt
Filed under: Setaria viridis
Lineage: Eukaryota; Viridiplantae; Streptophyta; Magnoliopsida; Poales; Poaceae
Description: long non-coding RNA (SVIR_LNC008505)
Source: RNAcentral